AGCAGUCGCCGCGGGAAUACGAAGGGUGCAAGCGUCAAUCGGAAUUACUGGGCGUAGAGCGUGCGUAGGCGGUUUGUUAAGUCUGUUGUGAAAUCCCCGGGCUCAACCUGGGAAUGGCAAUGGAUACUGGCAAGCUAAAGUGUGUCAGAGGAUGGUGGAAUUCCCGGUGUAGCGGUGAAAUGCGUAGAGAUCGGGAGGAACAUCAGUGGCGAAGGCGGCCAUCUGGGACAACACUGACGCUGAGGCACGAAAGCGUGGGGAGCAAACAGGAUUAGAUACCCGCGUAGUCCCUGUCUCUUAUAC
Molecule: ribosomal RNA, 303 nt
Filed under: uncultured bacterium
Lineage: Bacteria
Description: partial 16S ribosomal RNA
Rfam family: Bacterial small subunit ribosomal RNA
Source: RNAcentral